UUCAGCACACUUCAGCACCGAGGCUGGGCAUGAGGGAUCCGUCACCACCACGUCAAAUACCCCUAAAGCAAUAUCUGCAGGAAGCAGGGGAAGGUACCUUUGUUAUGGGCACUUGAAUGGUGCUGCUUCACGGAGGCUGCCCCCCCAGUCAUGAGGAUCUCAGACCAGAGCUCCAGGAAGUUCUGCUGUUGGUCUGACACCAAGAGUACCUUCAGAUUAUGGAAAGGAUUCUCACGGGGUUGCCUACAAAGGAGUCAGACACAGCACCUUGGAAUUGGAAAAGACCUUAACAGGACAGAUUACAGCGAACAACAUGGGAAUACUUUCAAAAGCCCUGCAUUAGGGCACCACUCCCCUUCUCUUUGGUGAAUCGUGUAUUUAUUCUCUGGGAUCCUAGCCUUCUAAUUCACCCCUUCUGCUGUCCACAUUUGUCCUGGGGCUGAGAAUAAAAUGCCUUGCUUAAAAUUCAGGCCCCAUGGGCACCUGGGUGGCUUAGUCGGUUAAGCGUCC
This is a long non-coding RNA of Hyaena hyaena (striped hyena), 510 nucleotides long. RefSeq lists it as uncharacterized. The record is from RefSeq and is a predicted model, not a curated record. Lineage: Eukaryota; Metazoa; Chordata; Mammalia; Carnivora; Hyaenidae. The transcript is spliced from 4 exons.